UACGGGGGGGGCAAGCGUUGUUCGGAAUUACUGGGCGUAAAGGGCUCGUAGGUGGCCAACUAAGUCAGACGCGAAAUCCCUCAGCUUAACUGGGGAACUGCGUCUGAUACUGGAUGGCUUGAGUUUGGGAGAGGGAUGCGGAAUUCCAGGUGUAGCGGUGAAAUGCGUAGAUAUCUGGAGGAACACCGGUGGCGAAGGCGGCAUCCUGGACCAACACUGACACUGAGGAGCGAAAGCCAGGGGAGCAAACGGG
This 253-nucleotide ribosomal RNA is filed under the name uncultured bacterium. Its description in RNAcentral is "partial 16S ribosomal RNA". It matches the Rfam family "Bacterial small subunit ribosomal RNA", at positions 524 to 776 of the family's 1533-position model. The record is from RNAcentral.